RNAcentral lists this ribosomal RNA (376 nucleotides) under uncultured bacterium. RNAcentral describes it as "bacterial SSU rRNA". It matches the Rfam family "Bacterial small subunit ribosomal RNA", at positions 1016 to 1392 of the family's 1533-position model. The record is from RNAcentral.
CCCUUCGGGGACGAAGAGACAGGUGGUGCAUGGUUGUCGUCAGCUCGUGUCGUGAGAUGUUGGGUUAAGUCCCGCAACGAGCGCAACCCUUGCCUUUAGUUGCCAUCAUUAAGUUGGGCACUCUAGAGGGACUGCCUGGAUAACCUGGAAGAAGGUGGGGAUGACGUCAAAUCAUCAUGCCCCUUAUGCUUAGGGCUACACACGUGCUACAAUGGGUGGUACAGAGGGCAGCCAAGUCGUGAGGCGGAGCUAAUCCCUUAAAGCCAUUCUCAGUUCGGAUUGUAGGCUGAAACUCGCCUACAUGAAGCUGGAGUUACUAGUAAUCGCAGAUCAGAAUGCUGCGAAUGAAUGUCUUUCCCGGGUCUUGUACACACCG